CUUCCCGCCGCCGCCCCGCCCGCUCUUCCCGGCCGUUCUGGCCUCCGCUUUUGGGGAAAGGGAAGGCCCCCAGCGCGAAGAGUCUGGCAGCGCCGGACUGGGACCCCCGAGGGACCUCUUCCUCCCCGCCACCCACCUCAGAAUUCCUUCCUCCCCGGCCCCUAGUGGGAGCUUAGGCCGGGAGUGACCCCCGCCCCGAGAGGGAGGAGAAGCGGUGACUCCUGGAACAGCCCGCGGGCGGGGAGGGCUGCGGGAGGGCAGUGGCAGAGCCAUUGAAAACACACCACUCUAUUCAGAACCCCUCCAGAAACACUGAGUACGCAUGGAUACAAAGGAGAAAACCGAAGACACCUGGGCCUACUUGAGAGCGGAGGGUGGGAGGAGCGUGAGGAUCGAAAAACUACCUAUGGCGUACUAUGCUUAUUACCUGGGUGACAAAAUAAUCUUUACACCAAACCCCCAUGACAUGCAAUUAAUUUAUCCAUGCACAUGUACCCCCUGAACCAAAAAUAAAAGUUGGAAAGUAAAGGAAAAAAAAAUCCCCCUCCAGUGCUUCCCAUCUCACUCUGAAUAAAAUCUAUAUGAUCUC
This 589-nucleotide non-coding RNA is filed under the name Pongo abelii (Sumatran orangutan). The record is from RNAcentral. Lineage: Eukaryota; Metazoa; Chordata; Mammalia; Primates; Hominidae.